GUGACAGAAAUUGGGACUCUAAUCAGCCUUGGUGCUAGAGAUUCGUGUGAAUUUUUCCAUGAUCCUAAUAAGGGAAAAAGUGAAGAAGGCAAGAUCAGGAAGGUGUUGAAGGUAGAGCCACUCCCAGAUGGUUCUGGCCACUUCUUUAACCUCAGUGUUCAAAACAAACUUCUGAAUAUGGAUGAAAGCAUUUACAUUCCCAUUACAAGGGCAGAAUACACCGUCCUCACCUCAGCUUUUAACUAUAUCUUACCAUACCUGCUAGGUUGGCACGCCUUCGCAAAUUCUAUCAAACCAGAUGACCAUAGCCGUGUGAACAAUGCAAGUCCAAGGUAUGGGGGGGACUAUGAAUGGAGCAGGUAGUGAACAUCGCAAGGAUGCCUGCAAGAAUAGUGCCUAAGCUGUAUUUUACGUUUUUUUCCCCCCA
RNAcentral lists this unclassified non-coding RNA (427 nucleotides) under Hevea brasiliensis (rubber tree). Lineage: Eukaryota; Viridiplantae; Streptophyta; Magnoliopsida; Malpighiales; Euphorbiaceae. The record is from RNAcentral.